AGAAUGAACGCUGGCGGCGUGCUUAACACAUGCAAGUCGAACGGAAUACAAGGAGCUUGCUCCGAACUAUUUAGUGGCGAACGGGUGAGUAUCACGUGAGCAACCUGCCCCGAAGACUGGGAUAACACCGGGAAACCGGGGCUAAUACCGGAUAUGACCUCUGAGGGCAUCCUCUGGAGGUGGAAAGGAUUCUGGCUAGGGAUGAGCCCGCGGCCUAUCAGCUAGUUGGUGGGGUAAUGGCCUACCAAGGCGACGACGGGUA
This 262-nucleotide ribosomal RNA is filed under the name uncultured bacterium. RNAcentral describes it as "partial small subunit ribosomal RNA". It matches the Rfam family "Bacterial small subunit ribosomal RNA", at positions 26 to 285 of the family's 1533-position model. The record is from RNAcentral.